UACGGGGGGAGCAAGCGUUGUUCGGAUUUACUGGGCGUAAAGGGCGCGUAGGCGGUCGUGACAAGUCACUUGUGAAAUCUCCGGGCUUAACUCGGAACGGUCAAGUGAUACUGUCGGACUAGAGUACAGAAGGGGCAACUGGAAUUCUCGGUGUAGCGGUGAAAUGCGUAGAUAUCGAGAGGAACACCAAUUGCGAAGGCAGCUCGCUGGAACGUAACUGACGCUGAGACGCGAAAGCGUGGGGAGCAAACAGG
This 254-nucleotide ribosomal RNA is filed under the name uncultured bacterium. RNAcentral describes it as "partial 16S ribosomal RNA". It matches the Rfam family "Bacterial small subunit ribosomal RNA", at positions 524 to 776 of the family's 1533-position model. The record is from RNAcentral.